CCUACGGGUGGCAGCAGUGAGGAAUAUUGGUCAAUGGACGAGAGUCUGAACCAGCCAAGUAGCGUGAAGGAUGACGGCCCUAUGGGUUGUAAACUGCGUUUAUAAAGGAAUAAAACGAGGCACGUGUGCCUUUUUGCAUGGACUUUAUGAAUAAGGAUCGGCUAACUCCGUGCCAGCAUCCGCGGUAAGACGGCGGAUCCGAGCGGUAUGCGGAUGUAUUUGGGUGAAAGGGAGCGUAGAGGGGUUGUUAAGGCAGUUGUGAAAGUUUGCGGCUCAACCGUUAAAUUGCCAUUGAUACUGGCAGUCUUGUGUACACUUGAGUUCGGCGGUAUUCGUGGUGUAGCUG
This 346-nucleotide ribosomal RNA is filed under the name uncultured bacterium. RNAcentral's name for it is "partial 16S ribosomal RNA". It matches the Rfam family "Bacterial small subunit ribosomal RNA", at positions 338 to 681 of the family's 1533-position model. The record is from RNAcentral.